This is a long non-coding RNA of Leopardus geoffroyi (Geoffroy's cat), 2123 nucleotides long. RefSeq lists it as uncharacterized. The transcript has 3 exons. The record is from RefSeq and is a predicted model, not a curated record. Lineage: Eukaryota; Metazoa; Chordata; Mammalia; Carnivora; Felidae.
AACAAGUUUUUUUUUUUUUUUUUUUAAUCUGAGAAAGGAAGGAAGGAAGAAAGGAGGAGUUUUAGCAGAAUUAGUUGGGUGGUAGAGGCCUCUCGAAAGCACCUUGCCUCUCACAGGUAGCAGAGAAGGAGGAACGAGAAACUGGAGGGGAGACUUUCCUGCUCCCAUUUCCUGCACGAAGAAACUCCCUCUUAAAGUGAGUUGGUACAACCCAUCUGCAGGGUAUAUUUGUCUUAUCCAUCCAUUUGGAUCCCAUUCUUGUUGCAGAAAUUAUCCUUGAGAGGCAAUGGAACAAAUGUGCAAAGAUGAAUAUGUUGGGAUGCACAUUAGUGACAAGCGAGACAAUUAAAGACAACGUAACGUCUGUCAAGGCAAGACAUUAUUUAAUGUGUGGUAAAUGUAUCAUGCUAUACCCCCACAUAUCACAAUGAACUGCCAUUCAAAUGGUGAUCCCUAUUCCUUGCCUGGAAAGAUAAUGAGAAGUGGUAUUUAAUGAGUGUUGACCAUGUGGCAGGUGUUUUCCAUAUAUGGUGUUACUCAAUGCUCAUAACCAAGUUUAAGGGAUGAUAAUCCUCAUUUCACCGAUGAGGAAAAUGGCCUGAGGUUAAGUAGGACCAAAUCACAGAUUCAGGAAGCAGUCGGUUAAGAUUUAAACUUUACAGCCCACCGUCGCAACGUCUUUGCCCAUAGCACUUUUUUUUUUUUUUUUUAAUUUUCGAGACUGAGAGAGAGAGAGAGAGAGCACAAGCCGGGGAGAGGGGCAGAAGAAGAGAGAGAGAGAAUCUUAAGCAGGCUCCAUGCUCUGCGAGGAACCAGAUCCACAGCCCUGGGCUGAUGAGCUGCGCUGAAAUCAAGAGUCGGAUGCUCGACCAAGUGAGCCACCCAGGUGCCUCUCACAGCACCUUUUUGGAUGAAAUGAUUAAGGCACAGGAACCCAAAGUAUACCCGCACUGCUCUGCAUCACCCUAGGCCGCUAGCUUCACGAGGACAUGUACCACCCCUGCUUUAGUCCGUCAUUAUGAUGCCAGCACCUGUCACGAUGCCUGACAGGGCUUCUGGAAUCCCCCUGGACUCAAAAAGCCUUCGAGAAAACAAAUCUAGAACCGAUGGACGGUAGAGCACCGCGGCUGAGGGUCAGCUCACCAGCACUGCGAGGCAGAGCCGCUGUCCAGGGACCGCACGGUGCUGAGAUCCGUGGCUUGCUGGGCUGAAGGAGAAGCCCCCACUAAUUGGUUCAGACCACAAAGGUCAACCCCAUGAGCAUCCGGUAAGACAGGCACGAUGAAAGCCACACAAGCCGGGAGAGAAGAGAGCAGCUGUGGUGAGUGGGGCUGGGUGUGAUUAGAAGUGGCAACAGGCGCUGUGGACUGCGGUGGAGAAGCAAGUUGAUGACGAGGCGACAGAAGACGCCAGCUCUGGGGUCUGCGGGGGUGGCAACAGGCCCACGCUCACUCGUGUGCUCUCUCUCUCUCUCUGUGCAACAGCCCUUGGAAACGAGGAAGAUUCUGGGAACGCAGCAGCUUCCUGUCCUGCCUAGAAGGCAUGGUUCUGCUGCCGCGGGUGGAGGGGUGGGGGUGGCCAGCCGCGUGAAACCCCUGGCAGUGUGUGUGACCCCUCUGCAUCGCCUGCCAGAGGCUACCACUCAAGUGCCCCCAGGGACCAAGCAGGGAAUGCGCGUGUGCAAGGUGGGGCAGGUAUCAGGAACAGAGAGGGGUAGGGACCAUGACGAAUGGAAGAGCACACACGCCAUCAAAAAGCAUCCGAAUGCGCAUCGUCUUAAGAUAGCGUGCAGGCGAAACAAACAUGGGUUUGGCCCACAUGUGGCCCACAGACAUCCCGCCUAUUGUCUCUGGGCUCCGCAGGUGCGUGUGCAACACACUACAAGGACUGACGAUGGCAGGGGUGACCCUGAGUUGCCAACACGUUGGUGAAGCUCUCUCAAACUGCCAGUACGGAUGUGGUCCGAUGCGGUUAUCUUCCCUGGAUCUGGGGGGGAGGGGGGGGGCUCAGCUGGAUGACACGGCUUCACCAGCCACAGUGUAUGCUCAGUGAGCAGUCAGGGAUCCUAGCAGCUCCCGUGGCUGCACAGAACUUUAUUAUUAUUUUUUUAAUAUUUAUUUAUU